Molecule: ribosomal RNA, 373 nt
Filed under: Calumma crypticum
Lineage: Eukaryota; Metazoa; Chordata; Lepidosauria; Squamata; Chamaeleonidae
Description: partial 16S ribosomal RNA
Rfam family: Bacterial large subunit ribosomal RNA
Source: RNAcentral
GCAACAUGAGAGAAGGCCUGUCUCCUAAGGCCGGCCAAUGAAAUUGAACUGCCCGUACAAAAGCUGGCAUUAACAAGCUAGACAAAAAGACCCUGUGGAACUUUAACAAUUUGUUUAUACACACUAAACAAUAGUUUCAGUUGGGACAACUUUAGAAAAAAUAAACCUCUUAUUACAUUAAGACCAACAAGUCUAAAAAUUUUAACCUCGACCCAGUCAUACUGAUUAACGAAACAAGCUACCCCAGGGAUAACAGCGCCACCUUCUCAAAGAGUCCAUAUCAACAAGAAGAUCUACGACCUCGAUGUUGGAUCAGGGUACCCAGACGGUGCAGCAGCUGUCAAAGGUUCGUUUGUUCAACGACUAACACCCU